Molecule: long non-coding RNA, 1939 nt
Organism: Xyrauchen texanus (razorback sucker)
Lineage: Eukaryota; Metazoa; Chordata; Actinopteri; Cypriniformes; Catostomidae
Exons: 3
Source: RefSeq, a predicted model, not a curated record
GAGUGUGUGUGUAUGUGUGUCUGUGAGAGUGUGUGUGUGUGUGUGUGAGUGAGUGUGUGAGAGUGUGUGUGUGUGUGUGAGUGAGUGUGUGUGUGUCUGUGAGAGUGUGUGUGUGUGUGUGUGUGAGUGAGUGUGUGAGAGUUUGUGUGUGUGUGUGGAGCGACAGUAAACAAACGAUUAAACUAUAUAAUUAUCCCUCAGUUCUGCACUAAUGAUGCGUUCAGCAGAAAUAAACUCACCCGCUUCACAACUCGCCGUUUAUUUACCAUCAUUACCACCUCAACCGCCAAAACCAGCAGGACCCGCCCACUUCUGCAGGCACUGACAGGAAUGUGUUUGUGUGUGUAAGGGUGUGUUUUGGGAAUGUCCACAAACACGUUGAUUCCAGAAAUGUGCAGCAUAGCAUCCGUUUGUGUUUGUGCAGCAGCGCUCCUCUCGAAACUGCUGCUCGUGCAGAAGCGUCUCCGUUCAGUCGAUUACAGUCGGCCAUCAAACCUUCAUGUGAGUCCCACAGUAUUGAACGCCCCUUAACCCGUCAAAUCAACCAAAUUCAGAAACUCUUUUUUUAUAUUCUUUAAGUAACAAAGAUAAAAAGAUGAUAAAAGCCCAAAUAUGGAGCUGCGGAUCAGUAUUUAUGGAAUAAUCCAUUAUUAUAUUUGGGUCAAAAUGAGAAUUUUCUCCUUUUAAAGUAAAACUGCAGGUCAAACAAAUCCCUGUGAUUUAAUUUCUGCACAGAGAUCGUCGAUCUAUUAUUACAACCCUCCUGUUGUGUGAGCCUAAAACACUUUUGUAGCGUGUUGAGUGCCUAUAACAUAUUUAAUAUCCUUUCAGAUUAUGAUUCAGAACAACAUUUAUUCGUUUUUAAGGCCCUAAACCGUCGUGUGACCCCUCGAACACGUGUGUGGACAUUGUGUUUUGGCUUUGUUACACGCAACACAUAAUUGAAAUAAAUAAAGUCUGACUGUGCUGUUCAUGAGACUCUACACGGUCAUUUAAGGGUUAAACUUCUGCCACACUGAGUCACAUGACACGACAUGACGAUGAUUUCUGUGACGCGCUGCUACGGGCGCAACAUCAACAUCGUUUGAUGUGCCGCUUUAAUAAAUACAUAGAUAUUUAAUAGAUUAUUAAAUAGGGAGCAAGGGAGCAUCCUAUAUCUCUCCUAUAACUGUUCUGAGACCAGUGCAGACAGACAGCACACUGGAGGUUAAGUCAUGCACUAAAUAGGGAGCAAGGGAGCAUCCUAUAUCUCUCCUAUAACUGUUCUGAGACCAGUGCAGACAGACAGCACACUGGAGGUUAAGUCAUGCACUAAAUAGGGAGCAAGGGAGCAUCCUAUAGCUCUCCUAUAACUGUUCUGAGACCAGUGCAGACAGACAGCACACUGGAGGUUAAGUCAUUCACUAAAUAGGGAGCAAGGGAGCAUCCUAUAGCUCUCCUAUAACUGUUCUGAGACCAGUGCAGACAGACAGCACACUGGAGGUUAAGUCAUUCACUAAAUAGGGAGCAAGGGAGCAUCCUAUAGCUCUCCUAUAACUGUUCUGAGACCAGCGCAGACAGACAUCACACUGGAGGUUAAGUCAUGGACUAAAUAGGGAGCAAGGGAGCAUCCUAUAGCUCUCCUAUAACUGUUCUGAGACCAGUGCAGACAGACAGCACACUGGAGGUUAAGUCAUGCACUAAAUAGGGAGCAAGGGAGCAUCCUAUAGCUCUCUAUAACUGUUCUGAGACCAGUGCAGACAGACAGCACACUGGAGGUUAAGUCAUGCACUAAAUAGGGAGCAAGGGAGCAUCCUAUAGCUCUCUAUGCAGUUAAGUGUGUUCACUCCUAAAAUCUGAUCAAAAGUUCAGUUUCAGGCUGCAGAUGAUGUUUGGACACUCAACAUGUUUGACACACAUGGGACAAUGAUAAUCACUACAUAGUGAACUAAAUAGUGAA